This 744-nucleotide ribosomal RNA is filed under the name uncultured bacterium. Its description in RNAcentral is "bacterial SSU rRNA". It matches the Rfam family "Bacterial small subunit ribosomal RNA", at positions 122 to 882 of the family's 1533-position model. The record is from RNAcentral.
GAACCUGCCUCAAAGAGGGGGACAACAGUUGGAAACGACUGCUAAUACCGCAUAAGCCCACGGGUCGGCAUCGACCAGAGGGAAAAGGAGCAAUCCGCUUUGAGAUGGCCUCGCGUCCGAUUAGCUAGUUGGUGAGGUAACGGCCCACCAAGGCGACGAUCGGUAGCCGGACUGAGAGGUUGAACGGCCACAUUGGGACUGAGACACGGCCCAGACUCCUACGGGAGGCAGCAGUGGGGAAUAUUGCACAAUGGGGGAAACCCUGAUGCAGCGACGCCGCGUGGAGGAAGAAGGUCUUCGGAUUGUAAACUCCUGUUGUUGAGGAAGAUAAUGACGGUACUCAACAAGGAAGUGACGGCUAACUACGUGCCAGCAGCCGCGGUAAAACGUAGGUCACAAGCGUUGUCCGGAAUUACUGGGUGUAAAGGGAGCGCAGGCGGGAAGACAAGUUGGAAGUGAAAUCCAUGGGCUCAACCCAUGAACUGCUUUCAAAACUGUUUUUCUUGAGUAGUGCAGAGGUAGGCGGAAUUCCCGGUGUAGCGGUGGAAUGCGUAGAUAUCGGGAGGAACACCAGUGGCGAAGGCGGCCUACUGGGCACCAACUGACGCUGAGGCUCGAAAGUGUGGGUAGCAAACAGGAUUAGAUACCCUGGUAGUCCACACCGUAAACGAUGAUUACUAGGUGUUGGAGGAUUGACCCCUUCAGUGCCGCAGUUAACACAAUAAGUAAUCCACCUGGGGAGUA